UUGAAUAAAUUUUAUAAAUGCAUACAUUGAAAUAUUAUAUAGUCACUAAAAAGAGUGAGUUGUAUAGCAGCUUUCUCUAUAAUAGCACCAAUCUGAAAACAGCCCAGGUGUCUAUCAAUGAGAGAAUGAACAAACUAAGUGUGGUAUAUUCAUAAAAUGGAAUACUGCUAUAAAAUUUACCUUGAAGGAAAAAAAUAUUGAACACUAGCUAAUGGCAUGUGUGCAAAGUGUUUAGGGGGAAGUAUGCUGAGAAGUCUGCAACUUUCCUUGAAAUACAUUCCCCCAAAAUAAGAUGGAUUGGAUGGUUACAGAGAUGGAUAGAUGGAAAAUAAGUAUAAGUAAUAGGUUAAUGGUAGAAUCGAGGUAGUGGGCAUAAGGGUGUUUUCUGUAAAAUAUCUUUGCAUGGAAUAAGGAUUCUAUUUUUUUAGAAUAAACAAUGACAAAAAUACAAUCAUGUAUGUGUGUGGGUAGCUACCCAAAUAACCCCAUAUAGUUCUAUGACCAUGAAGAUAAUUAUAUAAAGAGCCUGGGGGAUGGAGGUGGAGAAGCGCGAGGUGAAAGGUGAGGGUGAAUAUACUCAUGCACACAAAGAGAUGCAAGAAGCAUGGGCCUCAACACAGCAUCAACAGACAGGGCUAGCACAGUUCCAGAUCACUGUAAUUUCUUUACGAACAAGACCUUGUCUCAAUUUUAAAAAGAAGAGGGUGCAAGGUGGCCUUUUGACAAGGGACUGAUCCCGAAAGGAGCCUAUAAGGGUUAUGGGGCAUGGAACGGUGCUGACGUGUGGGCACAGAACAGAGCUCUUCUACCACUCCUGGGCCAAAGGGCAAGGGCAGGCAGCCGUUCCCGUGCCUGGGGAUGGAGGGCUCCAGGAGGGACCUUCCCCAACCAGAGCUGAGACCGGGCUCUGAGGGAAGCCGCCCACUCAGGCCCCUCUGGGAGAUCAGUCUGUAAACAACCGCUCUUAUGCCAGGUGACAUCCUGACAUGUAUGUCACUGUGACAGCUGACAAUGAAGUGGCGUUUUUUUUUCAGCACCUCUCUAUAAAAAGCUGCCUCACCUGGGCAACCUGAGUGCCAGUUGUGCUAUUGUGUGUAGUAGAGGAGUGAAGAACCUGGUCAGGAGGCAAUUGCGAUUUUAUUGUUGCUAUUUAUUAUUGCAUGAUUUUUUAAAAAGAUAUUUUUGUAAUUUUUUAAAAAUGUAAACUGGCUAUCUAGAUAAUACGUUUGCAUUCCAAUUAAUUACUGCCAGGAGAAUGAAAGUCCUGUUUAAACUAACUUUGGCUUAUUGGAUGGGAUGUUUUCUGCUAUGAUUAACAGACAAGAAAAAAAUACAUAUAUAUAACAACACACUCAUCCAUGGUGUUUCUAAAGAAAAUAUCAUUUCUUAACACGAAAAAUGGUAUUUAUAGCAACUUAGUUUUUUGUUUUACUGUACCAGUUGUGUGAGAAUUUUCUUAAAAACUUCCUAAGCCUGAGUCUCAUAGCCUUGUCACUAAUUAACUGUUCCACUCAUUUAAACAUUUGCUUGCCUUUGAACCUGGGCCCUAUG
Molecule: long non-coding RNA, 1551 nt
Filed under: Homo sapiens (human)
Lineage: Eukaryota; Metazoa; Chordata; Mammalia; Primates; Hominidae
Description: non-protein coding lnc-FOXQ1-10:1
Source: RNAcentral